RNAcentral lists this ribosomal RNA (468 nucleotides) under uncultured bacterium. RNAcentral describes it as "partial 16S ribosomal RNA". It matches the Rfam family "Bacterial small subunit ribosomal RNA", at positions 28 to 507 of the family's 1533-position model. The record is from RNAcentral.
GACGAACGCUGGCGGCGUGCUUAACACAUGCAAGUCGAACGGAAAGGCCCUGCUUUUGUGGGGUGCUCGAGUGGCGAACGGGUGAGUAACACGUGAGUAACCUGCCCUUGACUUUGGGAUAACUUCAGGAAACUGGGGCUAAUACCGGAUAGGAGCUCCUGCUGCACGGUGGGGGUUGGAAAGUUUCGGCGGUUGGGGAUGGACUCGCGGCUUAUCAGCUUGUUGGUGGGGUAGUGGCUUACCAAGGCUUUGACGGGUAGCCGGCCUGAGAGGGUGACCGGCCACAUUGGGACUGAGAUACGGCCCAGACUCCUACGGGAGGCAGCAGUGGGGAAUAUUGCACAAUGGGCGGAAGCCUGAUGCAGCAACGCCGCGUGCGGGAUGACGGCCUUCGGGUUGUAAACCGCUUUCGCCUGUGACAAAGCGUGAGUGACGGUAAUGGGUAAAGAAGCACCGGCUAACUACGUG